CGCCAGUGCCGCCACACCGCGUCGCACUAUCCCGCGCCCUCGCCGCCCCUCCCUACUCCCUUCAUCCAUCAGUCAGUCACUCGACGGCACGCACGAGGGACGGUCGCUCGAUUUCUCUCGUCGCUCAACAUUCACGCGGACAACUGGGUCAAAGGUUUCGUGCUAACGUCGAAUCCUUAUACGUCCUGUGUUGUGACCAAAUACAGUGCAAGUGAAUUAGAAAUAUAGUUUGUGAUAUAAUUAAUUACACCAGCGGUUCUUUUGAAGUGUACGGGAUGCGUGCGUGAGCGCAGCGCAUGACGUGCUACGAAACGUUGAGAGCUCCGGCACCCGCCGCGGACGCCCCCAUGGCGCACCACUUCGUUAAGUGGUGGCGCAACAAGUUUAGAAAUGGAUACAAGAAGUUUAGCAUUGGUACAGAGAGCGAGAGGACGGACACCGAAGAGCUGGUGGGACGAGCAGCUUCACAAUGUUCAGCACCACCUGACCUGCUGCCAAGCGAGGCCCGCGCCUUGCUGCAGCCGAACACGCCACCAGCGCCGCCCCCCCGCUCCCAUGAACCGUCCUACAAACCACCUCCGUCACCCACCCCAAUGGCGGAAAAAAAUGAUGAAAAACACCCCAGAUUACGAUUUGAGGAGCUGACAUGUGAUGUAGAAUUGCAGCAUCCUGAACCCUCCAAACAGCAACCGCUGCAGUUCUCCUUUACCUUAUAUGAUUUAGACGGGCACGGACGUAUGACCAAGGAUGACAUUGCUGGAAUUGUUUCUACAAUCUACGAAUCCAUCGGGAAAUCAGUGACAGUGCCGCAUUAUGGGUCAAAGACAAUUCAAGUGCGGUUAACUGUUGUGCCGGAAGAUGGUAAUUGUAGAAGUCAUCGUGAGAGGCGAGAGGCGCGGCGACGUGAGAGGCGAGAGGAAAGACGAAGAGAAUGUUCUACUAACGUUAACGCAUCGCCUCCCGACUGCAUAGACCAUAGCGAGGACGAGCAAAGAGGGAGAUUAUCUCCGGACGACGAUGCUUCCUCGAAAUCUUCAUGUUCGGGAGACAGGAGACCUGCCCACAGUUCUCCAAGACAAACUACUUAUGCACAAUCCCGAGCACAUCGUCAACCUCGCAGAGAACAUCGGGAGCGGAAACAUACUAAGAAACGUUCUGGAAGUUUACAAAGACGCGAAUUGUUGGAAAUAAUUCAAGCUAACAUGGAAAAAAACCAUAUGAGCUUUCAAGCCUCAAGAAAGCCCUGUGAACCUGUUACUAUUGAAGAAGAAGUUACGAAUAAAUAUCAGAAACUUCGAAACAGAUCUUACACGGUCAGUGAGAAGCCAAUAAAUGCAUUCCAAAAGAAGAAAUCUGAUAAUUCUGGCAACGGAUACUUAGAUCUAGCAAGCGGCGGCGAUUCACAUCUAUGUAGGUAUGACCGUUACCUGCAUGCGGUGAUAUGCUCGUCGGCACGACAUGCGAACACGGGAUACCAUCAGAAGCAGAAUCAGACGCCGCGCCCCGGCCGGGCCCCGCACGCGCACCACGCGCGCUCUCGCUCGCACGACCUGCCACACCAGGCGCCCGCCGCGCAACAACCUAGAGUAUUACAAAUUAUAUUCUUAUAGAACAUAAGAAAGGGCAUCACCGGCCACGGUUUUGUCCUGCUCACUUGUUGAGUCUGUUUAUUCUAAGAAUCUAAUUUUAUUGUUGAGUUACCAAGCGCUGUUUGAAAGCCACUUUAAAAAUAAGUAACAAAACGUGAGAUUCGUAUCUCACAUAAACAUUUAAAAUGUUUUCACCCUUAAUUCGAAAUAUUCCUAUUCUAGAAGGAAAAGAAUCUUUUACAAACUUCCAUUCUCUCCACAAUAGAUCUGUUGAUAGACUUAUUACUUUUGUAAUCAAAUAACUGAAUUAACUUAGUCCAGUAUUUUCACGCUAGUAUUAAGACAUUGAAGUGUUU
Spodoptera litura is the source of this 1945-nucleotide non-coding RNA. Lineage: Eukaryota; Metazoa; Arthropoda; Insecta; Lepidoptera; Noctuidae. The record is from RefSeq and is a predicted model, not a curated record.